Molecule: long non-coding RNA, 280 nt
Organism: Amphimedon queenslandica
Lineage: Eukaryota; Metazoa; Porifera; Demospongiae; Haplosclerida; Niphatidae
Exons: 4
Source: RefSeq, a predicted model, not a curated record
ACUGAUAAACAUGGACGAUACUAUACUGAUUAUUACUAUGUUGUAGUUCAAGAAGAGUCUCGUGCUGACUGGUCAAGUGCAAUUGUUGAAGUCAAAAGAAGCUUCCAAUGCUUUCAAGAGCUCCUCAAUCCUCAGGCUCACUUGAUCAAUGGUGAUGGUGUUGUUCCUGAGGAGUUUGAUGAAUGGAUAUCAACUUCAGCUGAAGGGAAUAUCUUAGAAGCUACUAAUCUAGCAGUUAAUGUUUUGGAGAAUCAUUAUAAGAAUUGUAACUUCAAUACAA